AGUAGGCAGGCUAGGGGUUGCAGUUUUCCCAGGCCUCUACACUUUAAAAGCCUCACACUCUUCACGUGCUGAUAAAUGGAGUGAGAGAAACCAAAAAAACCGUGCUGAUUGAGUUCACUACAAGUUUAUGCUAUCUAAUCUCAACAGGAUCCGCCAUGGCAGCCAGGAGUUGAAUGGGAAGCAGCACGGUAUUAACACUGGUCAGUGUCAUAGGCAUUUCCCAGAGGAUGGGGUUACCUUGGCUGUCCCCGUCCGCAUACUCCUAAUCUUCAGACAGGUUUCUGGAGUGCCUUUUUACACCUGAGCCAGGUGGGUGCUCGAGACCAGAGCCUGAUGGUUUCCUUGACCCCUGUAUCUUCAGUGAGGUACAACAGAAUGGGAGAAUCAAGUUGACAGUCUCCUCUCAACACUAUUGUGAAAAGACAUUAAAUUGAAACGGUUAUCUCUCUAGGAAGGUGAGAAGAAAGAAUACAAAGAGAAGCCCAGGUGAUGCAAACACAGGAAAUCAGUAAAAAUGUUUUAAAAAGAAUUUUCUCACCUGUACUACAUGGAUCACAUUAAAACAAUGGCUUCCAGCUUCCUAAUUGACUUGGAUGAGAAAACUUUCCAUGAGAAGACAACUGUUCUUCCUCAUCCUCCAUUGCUUCUCCCCCAUUCAGUCCCCUUAAAAGCUUACUUUUUGAGAAUAAUCAGAUAGCUUUGAAUUUUUCUUUUCCCUUUCUCCUUCCUUUCCUCCCUCCUUCCUCUCUCCCUCCUUCCUUUCUGGGAGGUCUGAUAGGUAUCUCUUAUGAUGACUUACAUCUAGUCCAGGAGUUAUUCAACUUUUUUUUAUAUCAUCGUCUCCUUGGCAAGUCUAGUAGAGUCUACAGAGACCUUCUCAGAUGAAUGAUUUUAAGUGCACAAAAUUAAACACAUGGGAUUUUAUUAUCGAGGAAAUUUAUUAUAUUGAAAUAUAGUUUUUGAAAUAUUAAAAAAAGUUCCCCAAUUCUUGCCUAUAGAACCCGUUUCAGAAUAGAUCUGAAUAAAUUGUUUGACACCUCCCUCA
Non-coding RNA from Monodelphis domestica (gray short-tailed opossum), 1045 nucleotides. NCBI's taxonomy places the organism in Eukaryota, Metazoa, Chordata, Mammalia, Didelphimorphia, Didelphidae. The record is from RefSeq and is a predicted model, not a curated record.